Long non-coding RNA from Mustela lutreola (European mink), 3574 nucleotides. RefSeq lists it as uncharacterized. The record is from RefSeq and is a predicted model, not a curated record. The transcript is spliced from 3 exons. Lineage: Eukaryota; Metazoa; Chordata; Mammalia; Carnivora; Mustelidae.
CGUUGGACCAAAGGAGCCAGACCCAGAACGGUCCCCACAGCACGAGGUCACGGCGACGGGGCUCACGAAGCAGUCCGACCCGUGCGGGUGGGAGCCGGGCCUUCCUCUCAUGGGCCGGAGGGGUUGACGGGAGGGACAAGCGACCCUACAGUGACGGGAACGUUCGUAUGUCGACCCAGCCGGUGUGCACGUGGGGGUGUCCGCUUGUCACAGCUCAUCCGACACCACCCCUGAAAUCCGUACGUUUCGUUACAGUAAAUUGUGCCACAGUUUUGGAAGAGUUUGGAGUAAGGAAAAAAAAAAAGGUGUUGGAAAUGAUGAUCCAAGCCCUGCUUUGAUCUCGUGAAAAGCGUGUCUCGCCCAAAACGAUGAGGGCCAUUUGGGAGCUGCUGCUUGGCUCGGGCUCCGUGACAGGGACGUCACCAGGGGGCUUUGUAGAAUGUUUCCUUCUCGUCAGCGCAUCACCUCCUCACUGCCUCUCUGCCUUCCCUCAAACCUGCAUCCGGGGGGACCCUGAAGGCCCACCCAGGGGCAUGAGCCACAUGGCCCGGCCGCUCAGUCGUGGCAUGAAGGAGACCCAACGGGGACCCAAGCAAGAAAGGCAGCUUGUGCCUUUGGCCUCCACCCAGCACGGCCCCCCCAGACUGCUCCUCUUUGGUGGGUACGUGGCAGCCGCGUGGGGCAUCACGGGUCAGACAUCCAUGGCUCUGUGCAUUCCUGUAGCUCAGCCGCCCCUGGGAAAGCCAACACCCACGAAAGACCCGGUGCUCCCAAAGUGCCCCCACUUCACCCCUUGCAAAGUGUCCCCACUCGCGCACGACCCUCUCUUGCCCACUCCCUGUCUCGACCUCGCUUGCCUCUGUGAUUCUGCCUACUCUGAGUGCCCGGGCUGGGACGGUCCCAGGCCAACCAAGACGGCUGGUUUCCGUAGUCACCUCCCUGUUGGUGACACGGUCCACAGGCACUGCGCGUGCCCAGCACAAACGCGCAGCCCUGCGAGGGGAGAGCAGAGCCUUCUUAGGCGGACAGUGCCCUGCAGGCAGGCUCUCGCCCAGCCUGGGCCAGCAGCAUGUGGCAGUGGGUUCGCUCUGUCGAAGCCCCUGGCUGGGCAGCUGACCGGGGGCCCUUCCUGACCAGGAGAGCCUAAGCAUCCAGCAAGGGAGGCUGGUACCACCACCCCCAGACUCUCUGGUUUCCUUCAACUUCGGUUGUACCUUCUAGAGCCUUACAGCUGAGUUCCGGUGCCUUCAGCAGUGAAGAGCUUUGCCCAGAAACCCUGUUCCCACUAUGGGAAGAGAUGGCGGUCCUACUGGACCCCUUCCCUGCCAUUUUUACAGCCGGAGCAAAUGCCUGUGGGUCCCUGAAGGACAGAAUCAAGGCUAGCUGGGUAUCAGUUAAGUGGAGACCACAUUGAUAGAACCUUCCAGAAAUAAGCUACCCCAGGAUGAAAGGAAUUGCCUCAAAAAGGAGUGAGCGUCCCCUGCCUCGGGGUAUGCAAAUGGGAGCGGGGUCUCCAUCUCUCCAGAGUCCAUCACAGCAAGAGGUGACGUACGGUCGCUCCCCCCACCCCCGCCCCGGCUUGAUUUUGUGCCCCCACUGUGUUCCCCUCCCUGUCUGGGGAUUUCAGGGGCGUCCGUGUUCUGUGGCUUCAGGGGGGAACCUGUCGUAAACUGUCCCACAAAUUAAACCCUCCAGCUCCCUCCCUCUGCUCACGGACCUGACCUCACAGAUCGGAGCUCUCAGAGCAGGUCUGCUAGACAAGUUUGCCUGCAAAUCUGGAAAUGGCCCUUCCCGGGGGCAACACCCCCCCCCCGCCCCCGCCCCCGCCCUGCCCCUUGCCUCCUGCUUGAGGUCCGUCGCCGCCACGGGGCUCCCACUGGCCGGGGCUUGCCAGGAUGGCCAAGGGGAGGCCGGUGUGAGGGCCCCGCUCUGCUGGGUUAGGAAUCCGAGAGUAAACAGAUCGAGUUUCCAGUGUCAGCUGGGCUUUUCCAUAACAGGCGCCACAGCCGUGGAAAAUGAGAAUGUUCUCUGAGAUGACUCAGCCGGCCGGCCCCCAGAGGUCAUCUGAGGAUGGGGUCGGCCAAGGGGGCCGCCCAGGACAUCCUGCCCCUGGACAAGCAGCAGAUGGCACAGAAUCCAAGUGGCUGCUGGAGAGGAGAGGCACUCGAGUGACCAGGGAGCCCGGGGCCCUCAGAGUUGCCAGGUUUAUUGAUUUGUUGGACACAGCGAGAGAAGGAACACAAGCAGGGGGAGUGGGAGAGAAGGAAGCAGGCUUCCCGCUGAGCAGGGAGCCCGAUGAAGGCUCCAUCCUGGGACCCCGGGAUCGUGACCUGAGACAAAGACUGAUGCUUAGAGACUGAGCCACGCAGGCACCCCCUCUGCUUCUUUUGUGUGUGUCUUGAGACUUCAUGUGGUCUGAAAGGUUUAUUUUAUCAUUUUUAAGAGCGGUUCCUUCUCUCUCUGCCGGAACAGAUGCCGCCGUCCGUGCUGUCUGCGGACUGACUUUACCGUCUACCGGAUUGUGGGCACUCACUCGUAUUUUUGCAAGUCACACUAGACCGUUCAUCCCGACGGCUCGUCCGCCUGCUUGCCCGGCGAGGGCCGUCUGGGUUCACAGCCGGCUUUCUGUCCCCGAGAACAAGUGGUUAUCAAUUCUCGUGUCCGCGGCUCCCGUGACACCUGUGGGAGAGGGCGGAUGCCUCCCAGGGCACGUGUGGGGGCCACACCGGCCUCCCCGCUGUAGACAUGGCCCAGCCUACUGGGCCCAAGGCUGUAACUUCCUACCCUAACUGAGCCUCGGGCUUCCUGCCCGCGAAGUGGGAAUAAUUAAUUAGUUGGGCUACACGUCUGUUUGGUUAGUGCCGAUGACGCACAGACCGCAUCACCUCCUGUCCCAGCCAUGCGGGGGCGGGGGGCGGCUGCGGGGAAGUCUCGGCCCAUCUCCCAGGAGCAGGUGUGUCACUGAGCACAGUCAGAUCUGGAAGUGAAUAAUCUUUCAUGGUAUAGUCACCGGGGAGGAUGGGCCAGGGCUUGGACCUGCCUGGAGGUGCUGGGGUGGGGGCCGCGGGAAUGGGUAGAUCCGGAGUCAGACAAGCGUCAUUUUACACCAGAGAAGCCAAGAACCUUCCCCUGCCUGCGAGGCCUGAGCACCGCCUGGACAGGAAUGUUGCUGGGAGGUCCGGUUCCGCACGGUUCUGCAGGCCAGCUCCUGGACUCGCCACUUUGCAUGACCACACGAGCCCAGGCAAGAUCUGAGCACUGCCCUGAGUGUUCAGUUCCUCCUUCAGUCCCACAGUACCCUGCCAAACCUCUUUCAGAGAUAAGAGAGCUGUUCCGGUCUUGUCUGGGGCAGGUGGUAAAGCCAAGAUCCACACAGGGGCCCUUUCCGACUCCGACGCCCCCAGGGAAGAAAGAGAACCAACUACCAGUCAGCUCAGAGCUUGCCCUUGGCUCUGGGUUUGUGAAGCAAGAGGCUGAACUUCCCCAGACAGUGGCCCUAUCCUGGCAGGGCCCUUCCUCCUCACCGCACCCACCCGGCUGCCCCAGGCCAUUGGGACGUGCAUAAGGAGACCUG